GUGGCGAACGGGUGAGUAGCACGUGAGCAACCUGCCCCGAAGACUGGGAUAACACCGGGAAACCGGUGCUAAUACCGGAUACCCCCAUCUGAUCGCAUGAUCGGAUGAGGAAAUGUUUUUUCGCUUCGGGAGGGGCUCGCGGCCUAUCAGCUAGUUGGUGAGGUAAUAGCUCACCAAGGCUUCGACGGGUAGCUGGUCUGAGAGGACGAUCAGCCACACUGGGACUGAGACACGGCCCAGACUCCUACGGGAGGCAGCAGUGGGGAAUCUUGCGCAAUGGGCGAAAGCCUGACGCAGCAACGCCGCGUGGGGGACGAAUGCUUUCUGAGUUGUAAACCCCUUUCAGCUGGAACGAUGAUGACGGUACCAGCAGAAGAAGCACCGGCCAACUACGUGCCAGCAGCCGCGGUAAUACGUAGGGUGCAAGCGUUGUCCGGAUUUAUUGGGCGUAAAGAGCUCGUAGGCGGUUAGAUAAGUCGAGUGUGAAACCCCCAGGCUCAACCUGGGGACGCCACUUGAUACUGUCUUGACUAGAGUCCGGUAGGGGAUCACGGAAUUCCUGGUGUAGCGGUGAAAUGCGCAGAUAUCAGGAGGAACACCAGUAGCGAAGGCGGUGAUCUGGGCCGGUACUGACGCUGAGGAGCGAAAGCGUGGGGAGCGAACAGGAUUAGAUACCCUGGUAGUCCACGCCGUAAACGGUGGGCACUAGGUGUGGGGACUAUUCAACGGUUUCCGCGCCGCAGCUAACGCAUUAAGUGC
This 759-nucleotide ribosomal RNA is filed under the name uncultured bacterium. RNAcentral's name for it is "bacterial SSU rRNA". It matches the Rfam family "Bacterial small subunit ribosomal RNA", at positions 95 to 867 of the family's 1533-position model. The record is from RNAcentral.